Long non-coding RNA from Pongo pygmaeus (Bornean orangutan), 2733 nucleotides. RefSeq lists it as uncharacterized. Lineage: Eukaryota; Metazoa; Chordata; Mammalia; Primates; Hominidae. The record is from RefSeq and is a predicted model, not a curated record. The transcript has 4 exons.
GGAGGAGCAGGGGCCCGCUCACAGCAGCAGCAGAGCCACCAGGAGCCAGUCCACCAGGAAAGCGUUCUGAGAGCCGAGGAAGCAGGAAGGAGCUGUGAGAGACUGAGCUCUAACCUUGGCCAUCAAAGACAAGCUGUGCAGUUCUGGGCUACUAAUGACUUCAAGAACAUCAGAAUAAUACAAUAUAAAGAAUUUGGAAUUUAGAAUCAAAAGACUGAUUCUUCUGAACCAGCUCUACUACUUGUUGGCUUUGUGACAUUUGGUAAAUUACUCAACCUCCCUGAACCUCAAUUUCUUAAUUUGUAAAGAGAAACAAUGUUCUCCUAGUGUUCCCCCCUUUUUCCUUCUUUCUUUCAUCUCUUCAGUGAGAUAAUGGGAAAGUAGUUUGUAAAUGAUUAAAGGCUAUGUGACAGUAAAAUGUGGUUAUUAUAUAAUUUUGGAAUUCUAGGACAGGCACAGUGGGUGGCUCACACCUACAAUCCCAGCACUUUGGGAGGCCAAGUAGGGAGAUUGCUUGAGGCCAGGAGUUCAAGACCAGCUUAGGCAACAUAAUGAGCCCCCCAUCUCUACAAAGAUGUUAAAAAUUAGCCAGGUGUGGUGGUGCAUGCCUGUACUCCCAGCUACUCAGGAGGGUGAGGCAGGAGGAUUGCUUGAACCCAGGAGUUUGAGGCUGCAGUGAGCUAUGAUCUGGCUAUUGCACUCCAGCCUGGGCGACAGAGCAAGACCUCGUGUCAAAAAAAAAAAAAAGAAAUUCUAAAUAUCGUGUUUACUUAGAAUUUGUUCUUGUUUUUGUUUUUUUUGUUGUUGUUUGAGAUGGAAUCUUGCUCUGUUGCCCAGACUGGAGUGAAUUUAGAAUUUGUUCUUGUUUUGUUUUUGCUGUUGUUGUUGUUUGAGACGGAGUCUUGCUCUGUUACCCAGGCUGGAGUGCAGUGGUGUGAUCUCAGCUCACUGCAACCUCCACUUCUGAGGCUCAAGCAAUUCUCCUGCCUCAGCCUCCUAAGUAGCUGGGAUUACAGGCACGCACCACAGUUUCUCACUCUUGCACAGGCUGGAGUGAGGUAGCAUGAUAAUGGCUCACUGCAUCCUCAACCUCCUGGGCUCAAGUGACCCUCCCGCCUCACCCCUCCCCCAGUAUCUAGGACUACAGAUGAUCACCAUCACACUCAGCUAAUUUUUUUUUUUUUAAGAGAUGGGGUCUUGCUUUGUUCCCCAGGCUGAUCUUGAACUCCUGGGCUCAAGGGAUCUGCCCACCUUGGCUUCCCAAAGUGCUGGGAUUUCAGGCAUGAGCCACCAUGCUCGGCCUUAGUAAACUCUUAAAACUACCCAAAUUAUAUGGUAUUGAGGGCACUUAGAAUGAAGAAGGGAUACGGUGCAUAUCUUUCUUUGAAUUCUCAGGACCCACCCGCCUGCCCCAGGGCCCCCUUUGCCUUGGUGCAGGUACUUACUUAAUGGCAUAGUUGCAGACCAGAUAUGCCGCCCGAUGCCAGGUGUUGCCCCAGACGCUGAUGCUACUACAUGUGUGGAUGGCGCAGCCCAGCCGAUUGGAGGAUGCCCACACCAUCUGGUGAAGGACAGAGACAGAGGAGGCUAUGAGAAGGGCUCAGUGGGACCCAGGCUCCCUGGGGUUGUAUAGUUGCAUUAGUUUCCUAUCUGUGAGCAGGAGGGCGGUGGCCCUGCCUCACAGGCACGUUCUGAACCCAUGUGAAGUGCCUCCCUGUACCUAGUACGUGGUAAGUCCUCAAAAAAGGAUACGUGUUACUGUUAUACAGAGGGCCGGGCAGGAGGUGCAUCUCAGACGGGGGAGCUUGCAUUUUCAGGAAGGGAAGGGCUCCUCGGACCAUCUCUUAGGCCUCUGAGAUGUAAGGAGAAGGCAGAUACUGGUGUGUCACCCUGAGAUAACCUCUGCAGUCUGAAAAGCCAUCUAGGGGGACCUGAGGGCUUUUUCUUUUUUUUUUUUUGAGACGCAGUCUCGCUCUGUUGCCCAGGCUGGAGUGCAGUGGUGUGAUCUCAGCUCACUAUAGCCUCUGCCUUCUGGGUGCAAGCAAUUCUUGUGCCUCAGCCUCCCAAGUAGCUGGGACUGCAGGUAUGCACCACCACGCCUGGCUAAUUUUUGUAUUUUUAGUACAGACGAGGUUUCACUAUGUUGGCCAGGCUGGUCUCGAACUCCUGACCUCAGGUGAUCCGCUCGCUUCUGCAUCCCAAAGUGCUGGGAUUACAGGCAUGAGCCACCGCACCCGGCCUUUGAGGGCUUUUUCUAUCACACAUAUUUGACAGGGGCACAAAUAUAUAAAAAUAUACAUAAAUGACUAAAGAGGGAGAAAAUCUGGAAGAAUGCACAUUCAUAAUUUAUGACAGCAUAGGUUCGUCUCUAACACUGCUUUCUUUCUCUCUGUGAGCCUCUCAAAUGGUGGCCAUGGGUAGGGGUGGAGUCUGGCAGGAAGAGUUCAGUGGCAGGAGAGGGGGAAAUGAAAUGGAGGCAGGACUGAAUCACCCGAUGUCUGCUCUGUAGGGCUCUGAGUGACCAUUCACGGCUGUCAGAGGCUGGUGCUGGUUGUGACCAGUGAAGGACAUGAAAAAAUGCAGACAGGGCCCUGAAUUUCCACUGAGCUCACUUGAAAGGACUGGCCUUAAUUCUUUCCCACUCUCCCCGGGCUGAUGGCAGAAUGGCGAGGAUGGGAAGGUAGUUGUUUUUCUAACAUCCUUAUUUGGCAAAAUAAAAAUCUGACAAUCGUG